This 461-nucleotide ribosomal RNA is filed under the name Mugil incilis (Parassi mullet). RNAcentral describes it as "partial 16S ribosomal RNA". It matches the Rfam family "Bacterial large subunit ribosomal RNA", at positions 1857 to 2509 of the family's 2925-position model. The record is from RNAcentral. Lineage: Eukaryota; Metazoa; Chordata; Actinopteri; Mugiliformes; Mugilidae.
GCCUGCCCAGUGACUCCUGGUUAAACGGCCGCGGUAUCCUGACCGUGCGAAGGUAGCGUAAUCACUUGUCCCUUAAAUGAGGACCCGUAUGAAUGGCACGACGAGGGCUUAGCUGUCUCCUUUCCCCGGCCAAUGAAAUUGAUCUUCCCGUGCAGAAGCGGGAAUACUGACAUAAGACGAGAAGACCCUAUGGAGCUUUAGACGCCAGAACAGACCAUGUAAUUACCUUCCCAAUAUGAGUAAAAACAAUUGGAUUCCUGUCUCCCGUCUUUGGUUGGGGCGACCACGGGGAACAAGAAAACCCCCAUGUGGACCGGGAGCACAUAUUUUCUGACUCCUAGAACCAUGAGCAACCGCUCUAAAUUACAGAAUUUCUGACCAAAAAGAUCCGGCAACGCCGAUCAACGAAUCCAGUUACCCUAGGGAUAACAGCGCAAUCCUCUUCAAGAGUCCAUAUCGAC